AAUUGGAUAUAUGCAAUAGAAAAAUUAGGGUUUGUCCAAAAAAUUAGAUAGAUUGCCCUAGGAUUCGAGAGGCAACGACGCCAAAAAAGCUUGUUGAUGGCAGUUAGUAUGCCAGUUUGAACCACAAGCACACGAAUCAGUUGUAGCUUUUCCCUCGGAGUAUUCGUCCAAGGUUUCUCAAUCCGUGGAUUGGCAGCAAAUUAACUAGGGUUUUCUAUCUAGCUUAAUAGAUCUAAUCCUAACAUGAAGCAUAGAUUGCAUAUGAACGGUAAACCUAAUAGAUAUGAAUGAUAGAGUAUAGGUUGAUCACAUCAACAGAUACAUAUAAGAUAGCACAACAAAGGGUAACAAGGUCCAAUCAUCUUCUAGUCUUAGAUCUUUAAACUAAUUCCUCGAGUCAACCUCCCAAAAAACCCCACCUUACAUGAAAGAAGACCCCACCACAACCCCCCGCCCUAUCAGCGCAGGUAGUUUAAGGGCAUGAGCAUAUAUGAACAUGUGUAACUAUCAUGAAGGAUCGACAUACUAGAUCU
This 533-nucleotide long non-coding RNA is filed under the name Setaria viridis. Its description in RNAcentral is "long non-coding RNA (SVIR_LNC009711)". Lineage: Eukaryota; Viridiplantae; Streptophyta; Magnoliopsida; Poales; Poaceae. The record is from RNAcentral.